AUUGAACGCUGGCGGCAGGCCUAACACAUGCAAGUCGAGCGGAUGAAGGGAGCUUGCUCCUGGAUUCAGCGGCGGACGGGUGAGUAAUGCCUAGGAAUCUGCCUGGUAGUGGGGGAUAACGUCCGGAAACGGGCGCUAAUACCGCAUACGUCCUGAGGGAGAAAGUGGGGGAUCUUCGGACCUCACGCUAUCAGAUGAGCCUAGGUCGGAUUAGCUAGUUGGUGGGGUAAAGGCCUACCAAGGCGACGAUCCGUAACUGGUCUGAGAGGAUGAUCAGUCACACGGGAACUGAGACAGGGCCAAGACCCAUACGGGAGGCAGCAGGGGGGAAUUUGGGACAAGGGGCGAAAGACUGAUCCAGCCAUGCCGGGGGUGUGAAGAAGGUCUUCGGAUUGUAAAGCAUUUUAAGUUGGGAGGAAGGGCAGUAAGUUAAUACCUUGCUGUUUUGAGGUUACCAAAAGAAUAAGCCCGGGCUAACUUCGUG
Molecule: ribosomal RNA, 484 nt
Filed under: uncultured bacterium
Lineage: Bacteria
Description: partial 16S ribosomal RNA
Rfam family: Bacterial small subunit ribosomal RNA
Source: RNAcentral